This 75-nucleotide transfer RNA is filed under the name Sphaerodactylus townsendi. Its description in RNAcentral is "tRNA-Ala". The record is from RNAcentral. Lineage: Eukaryota; Metazoa; Chordata; Lepidosauria; Squamata; Sphaerodactylidae.
UGGAAGACUGUGCCUCAGUGGUAGAACAUCUGCUUGGCAUACAGAAAGUCGCAGGUUCAAUCCCAGCUUUUCCAG